RNAcentral lists this ribosomal RNA (406 nucleotides) under uncultured bacterium. RNAcentral describes it as "partial 16S ribosomal RNA". It matches the Rfam family "Bacterial small subunit ribosomal RNA", at positions 30 to 526 of the family's 1533-position model. The record is from RNAcentral.
AUUGAACGCUGGCGGCAGGCCUAACACAUGCACGUCGAACGAGUGGCGGACGGGUGAGUAAUGUCUGGGAAACUGCCUGAUGGAGGGGGAUUACUAAUGGAAAAGGUAGCUAAUACCGCAUACCCUCAGAUGUGCCCAGAUGGGAUUAGCUUGUUGGUGGGGUAACGGCUCACCAAGGCGAUGAUCCCUAGCUGGUCUGAGCGGAUGACCGGCCAGACUGGAACUGAGACAAGGUCCAGAGUCGUACGGGAGGCAGCAGUGGGGAAUAGUGCACAAUGGGCGCAAGCCUGAUGCAGCCAUGCCGCGUGUAUGAAGAAGGCCUUCGGGUUGUAAAGUACUUUCAGCGGGGAGGCGUUACCCGCAGGAGAAGCACAGGCUAACUCCGUACCAGCAGCCGCGGUAAUUC